RNAcentral lists this ribosomal RNA (253 nucleotides) under uncultured bacterium. RNAcentral's name for it is "partial 16S ribosomal RNA". It matches the Rfam family "Bacterial small subunit ribosomal RNA", at positions 524 to 776 of the family's 1533-position model. The record is from RNAcentral.
UACGAAGGGGGCUAGCGUUGUUCGGAAUCACUGGGCGUAAAGGGCGCGUAGGCGGCUUGAUAAGUCGGGGGUGAAAGCCUGUGGCUCAACCACAGAAUUGCCUUCGAUACUGUCGAGCUUGAGACCGGAAGAGGCGAGUGGAAUUCCCGGUGUAGCGGUGAAAUGCGCAGAUAUCGGGAGGAACACCUAUGGCGAAGGCAGCUCGCUGGGACGGUACUGACGCUGAGACGCGAAAGCGUGGGGAGCAAACAGG